RNAcentral lists this ribosomal RNA (116 nucleotides) under Pteropus alecto (black flying fox). Lineage: Eukaryota; Metazoa; Chordata; Mammalia; Chiroptera; Pteropodidae. The record is from RNAcentral.
GCCUAGAGCCAUGCCACCUUGAACACGCCAGAUCUUGUCUGAUCUCGGAAGCUAAGCAGGGUUGGGCCUGGUUAGUACUUGGAUGGGAAACCUAGGAAUACCAGGUGCUAUAGGCG